This 735-nucleotide long non-coding RNA is filed under the name Prunus persica (peach). RNAcentral's name for it is "long non-coding RNA (PPER_LNC005053)". The record is from RNAcentral. Lineage: Eukaryota; Viridiplantae; Streptophyta; Magnoliopsida; Rosales; Rosaceae.
AAGGACCCCUUUGCAAAUAGGCUCUUCGGAUUUGUUAAAAUUGGGAUUAUAAUAAGUCAUUGGAGGUCUAAGUCCAGGGUCUGCAGGAAGAUUAGCCAAUAUUUCAUCCAACUCAGUGACCUCUGAUCGUUUUGGACUACCCGAAUUAUUCAAGGGAGGAUGUGAAGUAGGCGGAUUAUUUGAAGGUUGAUUUGAACUAGCCGGAUUAUUUGAAGAAGGGUUGGAACUACCCGGAUAUUUGAAGGAGGAUUUAAACUCUUUCUCUGAAAGUACCGUUUCAUAACUGUACAAUUAAAACAAAAUAAGGGUUUUAUAUCUAUUACUAUGACUAAUUGACUAUAAUUUAUCACUUAAAUAAAUAAAUCAAUAUCAAAUUAUCAAUUAAACAAACAAAUAAAAAUUAAUUAUAGCUCAAAUAACAUGUCAUGUAGCUUGGUAUUCACUCGAGUUUGCUACUGAUCUUACUAACACAGAGAGAGUUGAAUAACCAAAAAAAUACAAAACAAAAAAAACAAAAAAAAACAAAAAAAAAAACAAAAAUGGAGUUUGCUUAAGAAAAAAAAUGCAUUUGACUUACUUUGGUUUGACAUAGUCAAGAAGGAAAAAAAACACAGGAUUCUUGUGAUGCACACACACUUUGAUGAAAUUAGGUGUCUUUUAUAAAGAGAAUUCUCAAUCCUACUUAAUUAAGGAAUUUCGAAAACCCAAUUGAAUAAAGAGAACCCAAUUAAGUAA